GAUCAAGUUAUCAAGGGCACACGGUGGAUGCCUUGGCGAUGAGAGGCGAAGAAGGACGUGGACAGCUGCGAUAAGCUGAGGGGAGCCGCUCACAGGCUAUGAUCCUCAGAUCUCCGAAUGGGGCAACCCACCAGUCAGCGAUGGCUGGUAUCCUGAUGCUGAAUUCAUAGGCGUCAGGGAGCGAACCCGGGGAAGUGAAACAUCUCAGUACCCGGAGGAAAAGAAGACAAGACAGUGACUCCCCUAGUAGCGGCGAGCGAACGGGGAAGAGGCCAAACCGGAAGUAGUGAUACUCCCGGGGUUGUAGGGCCUGCGAUAUCGCAUUCGAAGUCGCGAGCGAAACAGACUUGGAACGGUCGGCCAUAGAGGGUGACAGCCCCUUUCGCGAAGUGACGACGAGCGUAGCAGGUACCUGAGUACCGCAGGACACGUGUAAUCCAGCGGGAAUCCGGCGGGACCAUCCGCCAAGCCUAAGUACUCCUCAUCGACCGAUAGUGAACAAGUACCGUGAGGGGAAAGGUGAAAAGCACCCCGGAAGGGGAGUGAAAUAGAACCUGAAACCGUGUUUGCCUACAAGCACUGAGAGCACUAUGCCGCAAGGCAGUGUGAUCGGGUACCUUUUGCAUAAUGGGCCUGCGAGUUGCGUUUUGUGGCGAGGUUAAGCCGAAGAGGUGGAGCCGUAGCGAAAGCGAGUCCGAACAGGGCGACAGUCGCAGGACGCAGACCCGAAGCCCGGCGAUCUAUCCAUGUCCAGGAUGAAACGCGGGUAAUACCGCGCGGAGGUCCGAACCCACUCUAGUUGAAAAUAGAGGGGAUGAGGUGUGGAUAGGAGUGAAAGGCUAAUCAAGCCGGGGGAUAGCUGGUUCUCCCCGAAAUAUAUUGAGGUAUAGCCUCGAGUGAACGCCCACGGGGGUAGAGCACUGAAUGGGCUAGGGGUCUUACCGGACUACCAAACCCAAUCAAACUCCGAAUACCGUGGAGCGCUGCUCGGGAGUCAGGCAGCGGGAGAUAAGUUUCGUUGCCGAGAGGGAAAGAGCCCAGAUCGUCAGCUAAGGUCCCAAAAUCCGCGCUUAGUGUUAAAGGAUGUGGAAACGCCCUGACAGCCAGGAGGUUGGCUUAGAAGCAGCCAUCCUUCAAAGAAAGCGUAAUAGCUCACUGGUCAAGCGAGUCCGCGCCGAAAAUGUAACGGGGCUCAAGCGUGGUACCGAAGCUACGGGAUUGGUAAUACAAUCGGUAGGGGAGUAUUCUGACGGAGAUACGCGGUGUACCGACAAGGAGCACUAACGGCCGUCAGAAGAGCUUAUGCAGGCAUGAGUAGCGAUAAACCGGGUCAAAAACCCGGUCGCCGUAAGCCCAAGGUUUCCUGGGGAAGGAUAAGCCUCCCAUGGGUUAGUCGGGACCUAAGUCGAGGCCGAGAGGCGUAGACGAUGGCAAGCUGGUUAAUAUUCCAGCACCGCGGUGGUACUUUAGCAGAGCAGGGACGGAGAAGGAUAGGCCAGUCCAUCUGUUGGAUCAGGUGGUUCAAGCCCGUAGGCAGCUCCCAUAGGACCCGACAGGGACAAACGUGGGGCACGAUGCCGAGAUGUGAUGAGGUGAGCCUUCGGGCUCGCAACCUGGUGAUUCCACGCUUCCAAGAAAAGCUGCGCUGUGUGGUGCUACUGUGCCCGUACCGCAAACCGACUCAGGUGGGCGGGAAGAAUAUUCCAAGGCGCGUGAGAGAACCCUGGUUAAGGAACUCGGCAAACUGACUCCGUAACUUCGGGAGAAGGAGUGCCUGCUGGCGUCAGCCACCUCGCGUGGUGAAGCGUCGGCGGGUCGCAGUGAAACGGGGGUUGCGACUGUUUAACAAAAACACAGGACUGUGCGAACUCGUAAGAGGACGUAUACGGUCUGACGCCUGCCCGGUGCCGGAAGGUUAAGGGGAGUUGUCAGCGAAAGCGAAGCAGCGAACCGAAGCCCCGGUAAACGGCGGCCGUAACUAUAACGGUCCUAAGGUAGCGAAAUUCCUUGUCGGGUAAGUUCCGACCUGCACGAAUGGCGUAACGACAUCCCCGCUGUCUCGACCAGGGACUCAGCGAAAUUGUCCUGGGGGUGAAGAUACCCUCUACCCGCAGCAAGACGGAAAGACCCCAUGAACCUUUACUGUAACUUGGCAGUGAGUUUCGGAUCGUUUUGCGUAGGAUAGGUGGGAGGCAAUGAGGCCGGGCUUCUGGGUUCGGCGGAGCCAACGUUGAAAUACCACCCUGAACGAUCUGGGAUUCUAACCUGGACCCCUCUACGGGGUUGGGGACACUGCCUGGUGGGCAGUUUGACUGGGGCGGUCGCCUCCUAAAUUGUAACGGAGGCGCACGAAGGUCACCUCAGGCUGAUUGGAAACCAGCCGUAGCGUGCAAAGGCAUAAGGUGGCUUGACUGCGAGACCGACAGGUCGAGCAGGUGCGAAAGCAGGUCUUAGUGAUCCGGUGGUCCCGUAUGGAAGGGCCAUCGCUCAUCGGAUAAAAGGUACUCUGGGGAUAACAGGCUGAUCACGCCUGAGAGUUCACAUCGGCGGCGUGGUUUGGCACCUCGAUGUCGGCCCAUCGCAUCCUGGGGCUGGAGCAGGUCCCAAGGGUUCGGCUGUUCGCCGAUUAAAGCGGUACGCGAGCUGGGUUCAGAACGUCGUGAGACAGUUCGGUCCCUAUCUGCUGUGGGCGUAGGAGACUUGAGAGGAUCUAUCCAUAGUACGAGAGGACCUGGAUGGACGUACCCCUGGUGUGCGGGUUGUUCUGCCAAGAGCAUAGCCCGGUAGCCAUGUACGGAACGGAUAAUCGCUGAAAGCAUCUAAGCGAGAAGCCGACCUCAAGAUGAGGUCUCCCUAUCAGACUCCACGUAGACCACGUGGUUGAUAGGCUGGACGUGGAAGCGCCGCAAUGCGCGUAGCGGACCAGUACUAAUAUGUCGACCGACUUGAUCGU
This 2953-nucleotide ribosomal RNA is filed under the name Deltaproteobacteria bacterium. RNAcentral describes it as "23S ribosomal RNA". It matches the Rfam family "Bacterial large subunit ribosomal RNA". Lineage: Bacteria; Pseudomonadati; Myxococcota; Myxococcia. The record is from RNAcentral.